UGGUUUCCUUGUCUUCCUUGGUCCUCAAUUUAUUUCCUUCCUUUCCUUGGCACAUUCCUAGCUUCUUUAGAUCUUUAAUUUUUUCCAACCACUUUGCUCCAUGCAUGUGAUAUCCAUUACAUGCCCAAAACUACUCCAAAGGCACCAAAAUGCACUUUUUUGCCUCUUUAACCCUUUGUACGUACAACCACACAAAAAUGGCUUGAAAUACUAAAUCAACUAAAAAAUAAUAACGUAAAUGCACAAGAACAAGCUAACUAAGUCGCAUAAAUAUGCUUCUAUCAUGUGUCUUCACGCAUAAAUAGUUGAGUUGACGACAGAAUAGGUGGAUGGAACUCAUCGGUGAGUUGAUUGCACCUUUGAGUACCAUCAUGGUCAGGCAACUAUCGUAGCUGAUGCUUUUAGUCGGAUAUCUCAUGGACAGUUUACCUUCAUCCGAGCUAUCUAUGUCCCACUAUUGUUUUCUCUUUGUGAAAUUUGAACUCUCUUGAUAUGAAACUAGUUGCUUUUGCUUAAGGGCGACAAAGUUGGAAAAAAGGAAAAUUGUUGGUGAGGCUCACAUUUUAACUUAGGCCAUGCAUGCUGGCAGUAUUAAAUUACCACUAUUUUCAUCCAUUUUAUUAUUGGCAUUGAAUGAAUGGGAUGUUGUUGAAUAUGUGAGUAAAUGUCUGAUCUACUGGUAAGUGGAAGCGGUGAGAUGGAAGUCAUGGGGCUUUCUCAAUUUCCUUCAAUUCUUGUUUGGAGGUGGGAAGAAAUUCCCACGAUUGUCCUUCUUGGGUUGUCGGGGACCCAUUAAGGAUGUGAAUGGAAAUGGGUGAAUCUCACCAUAGAUUUUCGGUACAAACCAUCUUGUACACAUGGAGACUAUAAUGAUGUUUUAAUAUUUGUUGAUCAACUCACUCGUCAUUUUAUCUAUGAGUUCGAAAGGACUAUACUUCGAUUGUUUGGUAAAAUUCUUCAUCCUAGACUUUGUUUGACUGACAUCUCGAUUAACAUCGGUUUCGACUGAAAUCUCUGUUUCACCACUGGAAGGCAUUUUAGUCAACUUUGGGUUCGUGCUUACCCUACGACACUUCGUAUCUUUUCACUUCAUAGCUUUGCUAUAGCAGACAGACUGUCUUGGAAGAGCACUCAGAUCCGAAAGUUUUAGCCAUAACCUUUAGGUGUUUAAUCACCCAUUAACAUUCUGUCGAGUGAAUCAUUACCACCGGUGAUUGAAUAUCCAUGCAAUUAUCGUCCCUGAGUUUAUCGUUGUAACAAGUUGUUUUGAAUAUUAGAAUAGGGAAAAAGUUUAAGUUCACAUCCAUCAGAUUACUUUAGACUACCACCGGAGUCAAGUCCACACUCAACCAUUCAAGUUAGGUACUUACACGUAUUCUUGCAUCAAUGUUACACAUUCACUCCUGUUACCAUAUACUUUAGAUUUGUUGACCUUGUUUUGACCCUUAAAUUCGUGAGUGUCCACUUAUCAUUCUCGGCAUCACUAUUUGCUAAAUCCGAGAGAAAUUUUCAAUGAAUCAGCUUCUGUAGGCGUUGUGAAUCACAUUGUUCUGGUUCUCGGUGUAUCAUCACUUUUGUACCUCAUCGUGAUUCGCAUUUCACCUCUAAGUUUUGUGAAGUUUUCGGGAAGGUCUUGAAUACUAAGUUGUUUGUCUUGUAUUGCAUUUUUAUUUGCAAACUGUUGGACAGUCUUGAACGAACUAUCUAGAUCUUGAAAGACAUGUUGCGUUCCUUUGAUUUGUGGUUUCUAAAUGAUUAGAUUUUGCACCGAUCUCUUUUGGAGUAGUUACGACGAUAGUUUUAUUUUUAGUUUGAGUAUAGCACUGUUUCAUACUUGGUAUGAUAAAUUCUAAGGAAAACUAAUGAAAAGAGCUUGAAAACUUUGAGUUUUACGAUAAGGACAAAAUAAAGGGUAAGGUAAAUAGUACCAUGAUUGACUUUUUAGUGUAAAAAUAUGGUUUUUCGUUAAAGUGAAUAGUACCGGGUGCUUUUCGUUAAAGUUCCCUAAAUUCUAUUUGCAGCAUUGGUUAGACAGUAGAGUUUUGUGAAUUGGUUUUCGGAUGUUUGAUUUUACGAUUUGAGAAACUGUUUGCAUGUGUUGUUGUCGCCUUAGUAUUUUGACAGAUUGGUAUGUUUGCACCCUUAGGAAAUUACUACUUGCUUAUCAAGACAACAAUGUGUUGUCAAUAUCGCGGGCGGCCGACUGUGAUAUCGAUAGCUUAUUUGUUGGGAUCGUCAAGCAAGUGGACAGGUAAACCCACCUACGAUAGUUGGUACUGUUUAGUUAUUGUUAGGGCUUGACCUAAAAACACGUAUGUUCUCAGAGUACGUGAUGUUAUGAAUGCUUGGGCGAGACCCACUUUCAUUUUCAAUUUUGAUUUUCAAUACAAGUAUUUUAACUUACCUUAUUAUAGUAAUAUAUUUGUAUUUUUGAUGUUACAAAUGUUCGGUUGAAUCUUUUCCACUUUCAGUUUUAAGUUCAAUACUAGUUUUCGACCUAUAUGUUAGUAAUUAUCUAUUUUGACGUUAUCCUACUACGUACAUACUUUUGACCUUAUGUUGUUAAAUAUUUUCGACUUUAUAUCUUUAUAAAGUAUGUUUCUACUAUUUUGUCAUGGGGGGAGAAAGUAGGAGCUUAGAGGUAUGAAAGAGGAUUUUGCAACCCGCUCACGACGGUGUGGCAUAUUCUCUUUGAUGCAACCACUCUAACUUGAUUUAUUCUUUAUACAUAUAUUCUUUCCUAUCUUCGAGUAUUUAUGUAUAAUACGUUAUUUCAAAUUUCAGGACGUAAUUUUCUUAAUGGGGGUAAAUUGUGACGACCUGUCCCGGAAUUUACAGAUCAGAAGUGCAUUUUGGUAAUGUCAUUGGGAUUGGGCUAGAUAUUUUGAAUUGUUGCUUUUUGGGUCUUAAAUUGUGUGCCACUUGGGGCCCAUUUCCUUUUUGGUCCCCCUCCGACCCUCUCUCAUUUCUUCCUUUGGACCCUUGACUCAUUUUCCUUCUUAUAACUCUCUCAUAUCUCUCCCUCCCCUCACUUUUCUCUCCCAUUUCUCUUAGUUCCCCGACUCUUUCUCUCUCUCUCUUUCUCGAAAAACUCUCCCUCUCCUCUCUGGGCUUAACCACAUUAACCACAACCCUAGGCAAACCUUCGUCGAACCUCAACAGUGACGGAAUCAUUAUUCACCGUCUUCCUUGUCAGACUCCUACAUGUUUCGUGACUAUUCCAACAUUGGUAAGUUCCCUCAAACCCUUGGGAUGUAUUUUAGGGUCAAAUCGAAGCUUGUUUUAAGUUGUACAUACGUGUUAAUCGCAAAAAAAUAGUUUGGAGUAGUUUUUCCCAGUUUUCCGGUGAGCAUCUCCACUUUCGAGGCGUUUUCCGGCCAAACCACAAUGAGUUAGCCAUCGUGAAAGGUACCAUUCUCUUCAUGUCGUUGAGUACUACAACUUUGGUUUUUGAAUCACUUGAUU
RNAcentral lists this long non-coding RNA (3465 nucleotides) under Malus domestica (apple). Its description in RNAcentral is "long non-coding RNA (MDOM_LNC013793)". The record is from RNAcentral. Lineage: Eukaryota; Viridiplantae; Streptophyta; Magnoliopsida; Rosales; Rosaceae.